This 282-nucleotide ribosomal RNA is filed under the name Staphylococcus haemolyticus. RNAcentral describes it as "partial 16S ribosomal RNA". It matches the Rfam family "Bacterial small subunit ribosomal RNA", at positions 77 to 351 of the family's 1533-position model. Lineage: Bacteria; Bacillati; Bacillota; Bacilli; Caryophanales; Staphylococcaceae. The record is from RNAcentral.
AGCUUGCUCCUUUGACGUUAGCGGCGGACGGGUGAGUAACACGUGGGUAACCUACCUAUAAGACUGGGAUAACUUCGGGAAACCGGAGCUAAUACCGGAUAAUAUUUCGAACCGCAUGGUUCGAUAGUGAAAGAUGGUUUUGCUAUCACUUAUAGAUGGACCCGCGCCGUAUUAGCUAGUUGGUAAGGUAACGGCUUACCAAGGCGACGAUACGUAGCCGACCUGAGAGGGUGAUCGGCCACACUGGAACUGAGACACGGUCCAGACUCCUACGGGAGGCAG